RNAcentral lists this ribosomal RNA (253 nucleotides) under uncultured bacterium. RNAcentral describes it as "partial 16S ribosomal RNA". It matches the Rfam family "Bacterial small subunit ribosomal RNA", at positions 524 to 776 of the family's 1533-position model. The record is from RNAcentral.
UACAGAGGGUGCAAGCGUUAAUCGGAAUGACUGGGCGUAAAGGGUGCGUAGGUGGCAAAAUAAGUUAGUUGUGAAAUCCCCGGGCUUAACCUGGGAACUGCAAAUAAUACUGUUUAGCUAGAGUUUAGGAGAGGAUAGUGGAAUUUCCGGUGUAGCGGUGAAAUGCGUAGAUAUCGGAAGGAACACCAGUGGCGAAGGCGACUAUCUGGCCUAGAACUGACACUGAGGCACGAAAGCGUGGGUAGCGAACAGG